Molecule: ribosomal RNA, 497 nt
Filed under: uncultured bacterium
Lineage: Bacteria
Description: bacterial SSU rRNA
Rfam family: Bacterial small subunit ribosomal RNA
Source: RNAcentral
GAUGAACGCUAGCUACAGGCUUAACACAUGCAAGUCGAGGGGCAGCGCAGUGUAGCAAUACAUGGGCGGCGACCGGCGCACGGGUGCGUAACGCGUAUGUAACCUACCCUUAACAGGGGGAUAACACUGAGAAAUUGGUACUAAUACCCCAUAACACUUCGGAGGGCAUCCUCUGGAGUUGAAAGUUCCGGCGGUUAAGGAUGGACAUGCGUUGUAUUAGCUAGAUGGUGAGGUAACGGCUCACCAUGGCGACGAUACAUAGGGGGACUGAGAGGUUAACCCCCCACACUGGUACUGAGACACGGACCAGACUCCUACGGGAGGCAGCAGUGAGGAAUAUUGGUCAAUGGACGCAAGUCUGAACCAGCCAUGCCGCGUGUAGGAUGACGGCUCUAUGAGUUGUAAACUGCUUUUGUACAAGGGUAAACCCUGGGACGUGUCCCAGGCUGAAGUACUGUACGAAUAAGGAUCGGCUAACUCCGUGCCAGCAGCCGCGG